AACGAACGCUGGCGGCAGGCUUAACACAUGCAAGUCGAGCGAAGACUUCGGUCUUAGCGGCGGACGGGUGAGUAACGCGUGGGAACAUACCUUUCUCUACGGAACAGUCCUGGGAAACUGGGUUUAAUACCGUAUACGCCCUUCGGGGGAAAGAUUUAUCGGGGAGAGAUUGGCCCGCGUUGGAUUAGGUAGUUGGUGAGGUAAAGGCUCACCAAGCCGACGAUCCAUAGCUGGUUUGAGAGGAUGAUCAGCCACACUGGGACUGAGACACGGCCCAG
This 278-nucleotide ribosomal RNA is filed under the name uncultured bacterium. Its description in RNAcentral is "partial 16S ribosomal RNA". It matches the Rfam family "Bacterial small subunit ribosomal RNA", at positions 29 to 334 of the family's 1533-position model. The record is from RNAcentral.